ACUUCCUGUUCCCAGAGGAUCUGUGUCUGCCAGAUAACUUCCUGUGAGCUCGCUCCUCUCUUCCUCUCUCAGCUGUUCAUCAUGAUGAAGUUCAGGAUCCCGUCUCUGAGAUCAGCUGCUGCUCUGCUCUCCGCACCUGGACCUGCUGCUCAGCCCUGUGUGCGUCUGUCUACCGGUCCCCAGCAGAAACACACAACCUUCUAUGAGUUCCGGACCUACAGCAUUAAACCUCACCUGGUCGCCGCCUUCCUGCAGCUGACCAAUCAGAAGAUCCACCUGCGCACCGCACACUCUCAGCUCAUUGGCUACUGGGCGUGGAGUACGGCGGCCUGAACCAAGUCUUCCACAUCUGGAAGUAUGACAGUUAUCUGAGCGGGCAGCUGUGCGGGCAGCCCUCUCUCAGGACCCCUCCUGGAUCUCGGACUACAUCUCCAAGGCGAUGCCCAUGUUGUCGUCUCAGGAGAACGAGGUCACCUACCUGAUCCCCUGGCCGCCUGCAGACCCCCGCAGACGGAGGUGUGUACGAGCUGGUCUCCUACCUGAUGCGUCCCGGCGGUCCAGCUGUUUGGGGCGACGCCUUUCAGGCUGCCGUCACCUCCCAUGAUGCACCGGGGUACGGCAAGCUGGUGGGAGCUUUCAACAGCGAGUUCGGCCUGUU
Molecule: long non-coding RNA, 658 nt
Organism: Sander lucioperca (pikeperch)
Lineage: Eukaryota; Metazoa; Chordata; Actinopteri; Perciformes; Percidae
Exons: 4
Source: RefSeq, a predicted model, not a curated record